Molecule: long non-coding RNA, 2888 nt
Organism: Sciurus carolinensis (gray squirrel)
Lineage: Eukaryota; Metazoa; Chordata; Mammalia; Rodentia; Sciuridae
Exons: 3
Source: RefSeq, a predicted model, not a curated record
GCUGGCUCCGCAGACCCGGGGCUGGGGAAGCCCGCGCGCGUCGUAAGCAGCUGCGCCGCGGGGCUGGGGGCGCACGGACCCUCCCCCAUCUGGCCCUGCAGCCGCCGGGCACGCGCGCAGCCCCCUCCCAGGAUGCCUUAACGGCACCGAUCGCCGCCGCCGAGGUGCCCCUCCCCUGCAGGGACCCCAACACCGCCAGCCCCUUCCUCCUUCUCAGGUGGUGCGCACUGCUCUGCGCGAGGCCAGGUGGGCGACCCGCCGCUGCGGUCGCGGUCGCAGCCGGUCCUCCAGCCGAGCCCCGGCGCGGGGCAUGAGGAUCCCCUGGGUAUCGCCUGGAGACCACCCGGCUGCGCGCACACCUCACCAACGGCGGACGGGGACAUGAGCAGCGCGCUCGGGGUCCCGCGCCCGGCGGCCAGCCCCAGCCGGCGGCGGCCAGCGAGUCAGCGCUGCCCGGGAGAAUGAGGCAGGAGCCGGCGGCAGCUUCCUCUUUCUCCUCCUCCUCGCCUUCCUCUGGCUCAGGCGCCCCGGGCCCGGGCCGGGCUGUGGCUCUGCUGCGUGCCCCGCGCGCCCCCCGCCCGCCUCCGGAUGCUCUUCUCGGUUAGCCUGGCGCGGAAGAUAAAGACAUUUGCAACCACGAUGGUAAUCACCAGUGGAAAUGACGAAGACAGAGGAGGCCAAGAGAAAGAGAGUAAAGAGGAGAGCGUCCUGGCCAUGCUGGGCAUCAUCGGGACCAUCCUGAACCUCAUCGUCAUCAUCUUCGUCUACAUAUACACCACCCUGUGAGUUUUCUGGAGUGCCCUCGGCGCCUCGGGAUGGCCGUGAGACGGGAGCCCUGUGUGUUCACAGGUCAGUGACCAGAGGCCGUGAGGACAGGAAGCUUGUCCAACACUCACCGCUCCAUCAAAUGCACCCUUGGACUUUACAAAAGGUCACAAAAUAAACCGAUCCUGCUGCAAGAAGCAGACACUAAAGCACAAUGAACCCAACAAAACUCAUUCACGCCACAAGGAACUCAGCGUCUUUGGCAGGGGGCCCAGAGGGAGGCUUGGAAGACCAGCCUGCAGUACCGGCGGCGAGCGGAUGGGUGCGGAAAUUCAUCAUCCCGGAUCGCUGACGACGCCGUGUUGGGAAAGAUGAGCGGGGCAGGCGCAGCUCAGCCGCGCGUCUCCCUGGACAAGCAUUUCGUUGGAUCUCGAUGAGCGGUCGAGUGCAGUAGACCACAGGGGCAGGCCUCGGACGGGCAUCCCAUUCAUCAGGAGGUCUAACUAUUUGAUACCGCGGAGAUGACUUAUUUUUCUUUUUUUCAUUGGCUUGAUGUGUGUAUCUGUUCAUAUCAAGGUUUAUAAAUAUAUAUUUUUAAUAAAUGUGCUCUAUUUUUUAGCAUGAACCAAAUAUUUGGAGAGGCACUUCCGGAUCCAUAGUGCUUCCUUGCUUUUAACUGCUUUGUUCCCCAACUGCAAACGUUCUUUUCGGUCUCCGUUCGGGUCCUCUUGUCUCAUGUUGUCUUUCACCUUUGCACUCACCAGCCCCCGCCCCACCCCACCCCUCUCUCUGGUCAGGAGGACAUUUUCCAUACUACCAGCCAUGGUCUUUGUUGGCGCAUGUCGUAAGAGUGUCCGUUGAGCGACUUUUCGUUGUACUGGAGAUAUAAUACGAUCGUGGGCAUGCAGGCCAUAGAUGCACCCUAUCCGUACCGAGAAUUAUGCAUGAACCUUGGCCGAGUGAUCAAUCAGCUGUAAAGAGAUUUUAAAGAACUACCCUUGAGCAAGAAGAGUGUGGCUAUAAUUGCAGAUCAACUAUGGGACAGAAUCUUCCGGUGCCUCACUGGCAGCAUUAUUAUUCCAUCCUCGUAACCAUUUGUUUACCAGGUUUUGAUUUCUGGGACUGAGCGGUGGGAAGAGCGGGGGUGGGGCUCAACAUUGGGCCCACGAGUCUUGCCCUAGCGAGACUCCGGGGUCCUCUUCGAAGCUGGCGGGUGUAAAUGACACCCACCCUAACCCACUGCGAGGACACCUUGUGACAGCGACCUUUCAAGGGCAGUGGGAGGGGGUUCAGUGAUUGCCCUAAGGGGUUGCUGUGUGAAGUUCUUGAUUUACGCCUACCGAAGCCACUUCCUCCCUGGCAGGGGUGGGUGCAGUAACAGAACCCUCUCCUGGUUCCCUGCGGUGAGCCGUUGCCUGCCUGCAGUGGUGUGGCCUUAAAGUGAGGGUCAGAAUGCUUUCUGCUGGUGGGCAGGGGAAGCAGCAGUCUGCCUGGUUGGGUUCAAAUGAUGCCAAGGAGGUCUCUGCCUCCCAUCUGUCCCUCCUUCCUGAAAUUCCACCCUUAGAGAGUCAUUUCUUGGGCUCUGCUAAGGGAAAGCAAAUGCCCCUGAGCCCCUGGUCCUGACACUAAUUGACCAUAUAUCUUGUCUUCUCCAGAAGGAAGGAAGCUAAGGUGUACAUAGGCCAUACUGUCUGCCAGGCCUUUUGUACACGAGUCGAGGAAUCCUCGGAGUAGCCCUGUGAAAGAGGUAGGCUUUCCCCCGUGUCAUAGAGGAAGAGAGAGAUCCGGAGAAGUCCCCGAGACUUCAUGGCCAGGGAGCAGUCAGGACUCCGACCCCCUCUGUCUGGUUCCUCAGCUCAGCGAGGGCCGGACGGCUGGAGGAUAGGACAUGGCGGAGAGGAGGGCCCAGGAGAGUCAGGCUCGGAAGCCCAUCCUUUCGCUGAGGUCCAGCUCUGCACACCUCCCUUCCCCUCCCGGUAAAAGUAAACAGCCCCUGGGAUCCCACAAAUUAGGACACAAGGCUGGUUAGAAAAACCAGAACUGUCGGGGAGAGGGCCUCUCUGACCGGUGUGUGAUUCUGGAAAGACCAUGUGAUUCCCAACAGUGAACAGAUAAACAAUAAA